This 405-nucleotide ribosomal RNA is filed under the name uncultured bacterium. RNAcentral describes it as "partial 16S ribosomal RNA". It matches the Rfam family "Bacterial small subunit ribosomal RNA", at positions 556 to 901 of the family's 1533-position model. The record is from RNAcentral.
GGGCUUAAAGAGUGCGCAGGCGGUUCUGUAAGUCCAGAUGUGAAAUCCCCGGGACUUAACCUGGGGAAACGGUGCGUUUGAAACUGCAGACGGGCUAGAGUCGCGGGACACGGAGGGAGGUGGAAGUUCCAUGUGUAAGCAGUGAAAUUGCGUAGACGUAUAUAGGAAGAAACAUCCGAUGGCGAACGGCAACCUCCCUGGGGGCCGUAGACGACCUGACGCUUCCAAUUGGGCACGAAAGGGCCCGUGGGGAGGCAAAACAGGGGAGUUAGAUACCCCUGGGUAGGUCCACGCCCUAAACUACUGUACAACUAGUUAGUCGGGUCGUUAAUAGACUUGGUAACGUAGUCUAAACGCGUGAAGUUGGACCGCCUGGGGACGUACCGGUCGGCGAAGAUUAAAACC